CCUACGGGAGGCAGCAGUGAGGAAUAUUGGUCAAUGGGCGGAAGCCUGAACCAGCCAAGUAGCGUGCAGGAUGACGGCCCUAUGGGUUGUAAACUGCUUUUAUACGGGGAUAAAGUGGGCUACGUGUAGCUUAUUGCAGGUACCGUAUGAAUAAGGACCGGCUAAUUCCGUGCCAGCAGCCGCGGUAAU
Molecule: ribosomal RNA, 189 nt
Filed under: uncultured rumen bacterium
Lineage: Bacteria
Description: partial 16S ribosomal RNA
Rfam family: Bacterial small subunit ribosomal RNA
Source: RNAcentral